Molecule: long non-coding RNA, 1390 nt
Organism: Mercenaria mercenaria
Lineage: Eukaryota; Metazoa; Mollusca; Bivalvia; Venerida; Veneridae
Exons: 2
Source: RefSeq, a predicted model, not a curated record
UUAGACACUUCCAAGAUGGCGGACGCUGAAAGUCAACACAGGUCUAUAAUGGCGAAAAGUCGAGCUUAAUAUAAAAAAGAAUAUAUAUAGAGAAAAAAGAAGAAUGAUUAAUCAUACCUUGAAAAGGAACAUUUACGAGCUAAAGGAAACCGAGAGUCCAUUCACAAGCACAAAUUCGUUUGAGAAUGAUACAACAAGAAUGCAAAUGAUGCCUAGAUCACAACAUGAUCUGAAUCUUCUUGGAGUAAAAAAUCAUUCUAGAAAAGUAAUAAAAAAAACUGGAGAUGUCAAAUGCAAUUAUUGCUGAAGGGAGAGAGGCAGCACAAAAAAGCAACAUCUCAGUCAAUGAAAAGAGUAUGAUGAGAGUAGUCAGUGGAAGAAUAGUAAAAAAGUGUAAGUGUUAGACACAAUCAGAAAGCAAACAGGUCUUGAAGGGAGAGAGGCAGCACAAAAAAGCAACAUCUCAGUCAAUGAAAAGAGUAUGAUGAGAGUAGUCAGUGGAAGAAUAGUAAAAAAGUGUAAGUGUUAGACACAAUCAGAAAGCAAACAGGUCUUGGUAGAAAAGGGCUGAAAAGUUCCAACACGAAAAUAGUGAGACCUAUUUGUCGAAAACGACUCGACGAAGAGAGAACAUGAUGAAAACAGAAAUCAUUUAGUUCCUUGAAAGGGAACAUCAUGUCAGUAUUCAGAUGCCUGGGAAAAAGAUACCAAAGACCAUGAACCAAGGUGAUAAGAGACAAGUGCAUAUCCUCAAUCAUUAUCUAGAGAAUAUAUAUCAAAAGUAUAAAGCAGAAAACCUAAACAUAAAGAUUUCUAAAUAAAGUCCAAGACAGUAAAGCCGACAAUGAAAACGUAAAGUGACAGAUGAAAGUUCCUGUUGUUGGAUCAUUUGUUUUGGCUAAAUAUGAGGGCAAACAGUAUGUGGGUAAAGUCCUAUAGGUCGACUCCAAUAAAAAGGAUGCGCAUGUUUCGUUCAUGGAAAAGACCCGUGUCAAAUGGUCGAUACCACUGUUCAGAUGGCCUUCAAGAGCUGAUGAAUUGUGGGUAGACUUUGAAAACAUCAUAUCUUUAAUCUAGAAACCUUCCCCCUAUGGCAAGACCAAAAGGCAGUACAGAUUGAACAAUAAUGACUCUGCUUUCUUUGCUAACUGAUGUUCAGACUGAUGUUCAGUUUACGACAAUUUAACUUUAGAGUUUUUGUGUUAACGUAUAUGAUGACACUUUUUCUUUGACUCCACUAGCAAUAGCAGAAGUACUAGUAUAAGUUAUAUUCACAUAAUUAUGUAAAUUUACAUUGAAUGUGUUUGAGAAAAUGCAGUAUUCUUUAUAAACCACUUUUCCUACUGAAUUUGCAUUUAAACUUUAACCGUAAUAAAUGAUUAAUUUUUAA